Molecule: ribosomal RNA, 2930 nt
Filed under: Escherichia coli
Lineage: Bacteria; Pseudomonadati; Pseudomonadota; Gammaproteobacteria; Enterobacterales; Enterobacteriaceae
Description: bacterial LSU rRNA
Rfam family: Bacterial large subunit ribosomal RNA
Source: RNAcentral
GGGUUGUGAGGUUAAGCGACUAAGCGUACACGGUGGAUGCCCUGGCAGUCAGAGGCGAUGAAGGACGUGCUAAUCUGCGAUAAGCGUCGGUAAGGUGAUAUGAACCGUUAUAACCGGCGAUUUCCGAAUGGGGAAACCCAGUGUGUUUCGACACACUAUCAUUAACUGAAUCCAUAGGUUAAUGAGGCGAACCGGGGGAACUGAAACAUCUAAGUACCCCGAGGAAAAGAAAUCAACCGAGAUUCCCCCAGUAGCGGCGAGCGAACGGGGAGGAGCCCAGAGCCUGAAUCAGUGUGUGUGUUAGUGGAAGCGUCUGGAAAGGCGCGCGAUACAGGGUGACAGCCCCGUACACAAAAUGCACAUACUGUGAGCUCGAUGAGUAGGGCGGGACACGUGGUAUCCUGUCUGAAUAUGGGGGACCAUCCUCCAAGGCUAAAUACUCCUGACUGACCGAUAGUGAACCAGUACCGUGAGGGAAAGGCGAAAAGAACCCCGGCGAGGGGAGUGAAAAAGAACCUGAAACCGUGUACGUACAAGCAGUGGGAGCCUCUUUUAUGGGGUGACUGCGUACCUUUUGUAUAAUGGGUCAGCGACUUAUAUUCUGUAGCAAGGUUAACCGAAUAGGGGAGCCGAAGGGAAACCGAGUCUUAACUGGGCGUUAAGUUGCAGGGUAUAGACCCGAAACCCGGUGAUCUAGCCAUGGGCAGGUUGAAGGUUGGGUAACACUAACUGGAGGACCGAACCGACUAAUGUUGAAAAAUUAGCGGAUGACUUGUGGCUGGGGGUGAAAGGCCAAUCAAACCGGGAGAUAGCUGGUUCUCCCCGAAAGCUAUUUAGGUAGCGCCUCGUGAAUUCAUCUCCGGGGGUAGAGCACUGUUUCGGCAAGGGGGUCAUCCCGACUUACCAACCCGAUGCAAACUGCGAAUACCGGAGAAUGUUAUCACGGGAGACACACGGCGGGUGCUAACGUCCGUCGUGAAGAGGGAAACAACCCAGACCGCCAGCUAAGGUCCCAAAGUCAUGGUUAAGUGGGAAACGAUGUGGGAAGGCCCAGACAGCCAGGAUGUUGGCUUAGAAGCAGCCAUCAUUUAAAGAAAGCGUAAUAGCUCACUGGUCGAGUCGGCCUGCGCGGAAGAUGUAACGGGGCUAAACCAUGCACCGAAGCUGCGGCAGCGACGCUUAUGCGUUGUUGGGUAGGGGAGCGUUCUGUAAGCCUGUGAAGGUGUACUGUGAGGCAUGCUGGAGGUAUCAGAAGUGCGAAUGCUGACAUAAGUAACGAUAAAGCGGGUGAAAAGCCCGCUCGCCGGAAGACCAAGGGUUCCUGUCCAACGUUAAUCGGGGCAGGGUGAGUCGACCCCUAAGGCGAGGCCGAAAGGCGUAGUCGAUGGGAAACAGGUUAAUAUUCCUGUACUUGGUGUUACUGCGAAGGGGGACGGAGAAGGCUAUGUUGGCCGGGCGACGGUUGUCCCGGUUUAAGCGUGUAGGCUGGUUUUCCAGGCAAAUCCGGAAAAUCAAGGCUGAGGCGUGAUGACGAGGCACUACGGUGCUGAAGCAACAAAUGCCCUGCUUCCAGGAAAAGCCUCUAAGCAUCAGGUAACAUCAAAUCGUACCCCAAACCGACACAGGUGGUCAGGUAGAGAAUACCAAGGCGCUUGAGAGAACUCGGGUGAAGGAACUAGGCAAAAUGGUGCCGUAACUUCGGGAGAAGGCACGCUGAUAUGUAGGUGAAGCGACUUGCUCGUGGAGCUGAAAUCAGUCGAAGAUACCAGCUGGCUGCAACUGUUUAUUAAAAACACAGCACUGUGCAAACACGAAAGUGGACGUAUACGGUGUGACGCCUGCCCGGUGCCGGAAGGUUAAUUGAUGGGGUUAGCGGUAACGCGAAGCUCUUGAUCGAAGCCCCGGUAAACGGCGGCCGUAACUAUAACGGUCCUAAGGUAGCGAAAUUCCUUGUCGGGUAAGUUCCGACCUGCACGAAUGGCGUAAUGAUGGCCAGGCUGUCUCCACCCGAGACUCAGUGAAAUUGAACUCGCUGUGAAGAUGCAGUGUACCCGCGGCAAGACGGAAAGACCCCGUGAACCUUUACUAUAGCUUGACACUGAACAUUGAGCCUUGAUGUGUAGGAUAGGUGGGAGGCUUUGAAGUGUGGACGCCAGUCUGCAUGGAGCCGGCCUUGAAAUACCACCCUUUAAUGUUUGAUGUUCUAACGUUGGCCCCUGAUCGGGGUUGCGGACAGUGUCUGGUGGGUAGUUUGACUGGGGCGGUCUCCUCCUAAAGAGUAACGGAGGAGCACGAAGGUUGGCUAAUCCUGGUCGGACAUCAGGAGGUUAGUGCAAUGGCAUAAGCCAGCUUGACUGCGAGCGUGACGGCGCGAGCAGGUGCGAAAGCAGGUCAUAGUGAUCCGGUGGUUCUGAAUGGAAGGGCCAUCGCUCAACGGAUAAAAGGUACUCCGGGGAUAACAGGCUGAUACCGCCCAAGAGUUCAUAUCGACGGCGGUGUUUGGCACCUCGAUGUCGGCUCAUCACAUCCUGGGGCUGAAGUAGGUCCCAAGGGUAUGGCUGUUCGCCAUUUAAAGUGGUACGCGAGCUGGGUUUAGAACGUCGUGAGACAGUUCGGUCCCUAUCUGCCGUGGGCGCUGGAGAACUGAGGGGGGCUGCUCCUAGUACGAGAGGACCGGAGUGGACGCAUCACUGGUGUUCGGGUUGUCAUGCCAAUGGCACUGCCCGGUAGCUAAAUGCGGAAGAGAUAAGUGCUGAAAGCAUCUAAGCACGAAACUUGCCCCGAGAUGAGUUCUCCCUGAGACUUUAAGUCUCCUGAAGGAACGUUGAAGACGACGACGUUGAUAGGCCGGGUGUGUAAGCGCAGCGAUGCGUUGAGCUAACCGGUACUAAUGAACCGUGAGGCUUAACCUUACAACGCCGAAGGUGUUU